This 507-nucleotide ribosomal RNA is filed under the name uncultured Bacteroidota bacterium. Its description in RNAcentral is "bacterial SSU rRNA". It matches the Rfam family "Bacterial small subunit ribosomal RNA", at positions 419 to 924 of the family's 1533-position model. Lineage: Bacteria; Pseudomonadati; Bacteroidota. The record is from RNAcentral.
UGGUUAGAAAGCUGUUUCUCUACGGAAAAAAAAAAAGGUACCUGUAACUUAAUGACCGGACCACUACAUUAAAGAACGGCUAACUCUACGCCAGCGGCCACGGUUAUACGGAAGGUCUGAGCGUUAUCCGGAAUUAUUGGGAUUAAAGGGUCCGGGGGCGGACCCCUAGGUUCAGGCUGAAAGUUGGCUGUUCAACCGUAAAACUGCAUUUGAUACUGGGGGUCUUGAAUUAUGAUGAAGUUGCCGGAAUAUGUAGUGUAUCGGUGAAAUGCAUAUAUAUUACGUAGAACACCGAUUGCGAAGGCAGGUGACUAACCAUAUACUGACGCUGAUGGACGAAAGCGUGGGGAGGGAACACGAUUACAUACACUGGUAGUCCACGCCGUAAACGAUGGAUACUAUCUGUCCGAGGCCUUGAGUCUUGGGCGGCCAAGCGGAAGUGAUAAGUAUCCCACCUGGGCAGUACGUUCGCAAGAAUGAAACUCAAAUGAAUUGACGGAGGCGGCC